This 491-nucleotide ribosomal RNA is filed under the name uncultured bacterium. RNAcentral describes it as "partial 16S ribosomal RNA". It matches the Rfam family "Bacterial small subunit ribosomal RNA", at positions 28 to 507 of the family's 1533-position model. The record is from RNAcentral.
GAUGAACGCUGGCUACAGGCUUAACACAUGCAAGUCGAGGGGAAACGACGGGGAAGCUUGCUUCCCCGGGCGUCGACCGGCGCACGGGUGAGUAACGCGUAUCCAACCUGCCUCUGACUGAGGGAUAACCCGUCGAAAGUCGGCCUAAUACCUCAUGGCAUCGUCUGCGGGCAUCCAACGACGAUUAAAGAUUUCAUCGGUCAGAGAUGGGGAUGCGUCUGAUUAGCUUGUUGGCGGGGUAACGGCCCACCAAGGCGACGAUCAGUAGGGGUUCUGAGAGGAAGGUCCCCCACAUUGGAACUGAGACACGGUCCAAACUCCUACGGGAGGCAGCAGUGAGGAAUAUUGGUCAAUGGGCGAGAGCCUGAACCAGCCAAGUAGCGUGCAGGAUGACGGCCCUAUGGGUUGUAAACUGCUUUUAUGCGGGGAUAAAGUGAGGGACGUGUCCUUAAUUGCAGGUUCCGCAUGAAUAAGGACCGGCUAAUUCCGUG